This 631-nucleotide ribosomal RNA is filed under the name Clytus sp. 1 ZHW-2013. Its description in RNAcentral is "eukaryotic LSU rRNA". Lineage: Eukaryota; Metazoa; Arthropoda; Insecta; Coleoptera; Cerambycidae. The record is from RNAcentral.
UUCAGGGGUAAACCUGAGAAGCCCGAAAGGUCGAAUGGGGAAAUUCAUUCGCGUUUCGGCAGUCGGCGUUGGAUGGUCGCGUGACGGAUGGCGUACGCGUCGUCCGCGCCUUCCGUUCAUCGAACCGGCGUCGAACGCGUGCACUUUUCCCCUAGUAGGACGUCGCGAUCCGUUGGGUGUCGGUCUACGGCUCACGGUGGAGACCGUGCGGUCGCUUCGGCGUAUCGCACGGACCCGUGGUGUCCCGGCCGACUCGCUCGACGGUAUACAGAAGGCGCGAGGCCGCUACACAGUUAGCGUUCGGCCUGCGGCAAGCGCGUUCGUUAUUUGAUGGCAAUCGGACCUGGUGCCGGUGCUGUCUGCGAGCGACUGUUGGCCGUAGUGUUCUCGAACAGACCUCGUUUGAAACGCCGAUCUGCGACGCUAUAGCUUUGGGUACUUUCAGGACCCACGGACCAAGGAGUCUAGCAUGUGCGCGAGUCAUUGGGACAUAACUAAACCUAAAGGCGUAAUGAAAGUGAAGGUCCGCCUUGCGCGGAUCGAGGGAGGAUGGGUGGUUCGCCCUUAAAAGUGGCCACUCCGCACUCCCGGGGCGUCUCGUUCUCAUCGCGAGAAGAGGCGCACCAAGAGC